GUGGAUGGACCGGGUUCAUAGGAAACUCUACCGUAAACGUUGUCUCAUACUGGACGGGGUAUGGAGACUUGGUCAUUUGGCGCUCAUACCGGAUGGGGUAUGAGGACAACCCACUUUACCCUCAUAUCGAACGGAGUAUUGAGGUUUAAUGUCUUGGUGCUCAUCCUGGACAGGGUAUGGAGACGGCUCUUGAAUUAAGAUUGUU
RNAcentral lists this long non-coding RNA (205 nucleotides) under Carica papaya (papaya). RNAcentral describes it as "long non-coding RNA (CPAP_LNC005067)". Lineage: Eukaryota; Viridiplantae; Streptophyta; Magnoliopsida; Brassicales; Caricaceae. The record is from RNAcentral.